Molecule: transfer RNA, 82 nt
Filed under: Candidatus Dojkabacteria bacterium
Lineage: Bacteria
Description: tRNA-Leu
Rfam family: tRNA
About the family: Transfer RNA (tRNA) molecules are approximately 80 nucleotides in length. Their secondary structure includes four short double-helical elements and three loops (D, anti-codon, and T loops).
Source: RNAcentral
GCAGUCGUGGCGGAACUGGUAUACGCGCUAGCUUGAGGUGCUAGUCCUGCAAAGGGUGCAGGUUCGAGUCCUGUCGACUGCA